Long non-coding RNA from Cebus imitator (Panamanian white-faced capuchin), 1098 nucleotides. RefSeq lists it as uncharacterized. The transcript has 3 exons. The record is from RefSeq and is a predicted model, not a curated record. NCBI's taxonomy places the organism in Eukaryota, Metazoa, Chordata, Mammalia, Primates, Cebidae.
UCUCUUCACUGCAGGCCCAGGCUGGGAGGCAGCACCAUGUGGCUGAAGCUCAGUGGCCUGUGGAUCCUGGUGACUCGGGCAGGGAGAGCUGGAGGUGCAGGAGGGGUUGGCUGGGAGAGCGAGGUGGCCAGGCUGCAAGACUCACAGAGGCCCCGGGGCGGGGCCUGAGUACUACUGGCCUGUCAGGCUUCCCUCAGCAGCAGGACUAGCAAGCCCUUCCCUGGUCAACACAAGACCCCCAGGAGAGGAGUGAGCUUGUCUUCUCCCCAGGGCGACCCCCAGAACCAGGCUGCACAGGCAGUAUACAGCCAGGUCUCCUCCCUGUGGCCCAGUGGGAGGGGCUGCCCUUGGGGCCUCCUUGGUCCUCCUGCUGGUCAGCUGGGUCUCGGACCCGGGCCCUGCCCACUGUUGGGCCUCCGCCCUCUCACUGCUCAUUUCUGGGCAGCAGGGGUGGCAGCUCCUACUCCCGCCUGCUCUCCUGACCACAGACUUACGGCGCCAUUUACCCACCAAGUCCUCUGAGCCUCCCGGGGAACAGACAGAACCCUGCAAAGGCCUUGCAUACCUUGGGAGCCAAAGUGUGGGCCGUGAGCUGCACCAGCGCUGACCUGGUCAGCCUCCGCAAGGAGAUGAAGCAUGAAGCUCAGUGAGGCUUGGAUCUACCCCCACCCCAGGGAUGCUUCCUGGUCAGACCACCGCCCAGGCCACUUCCCAGCAUCCCACAGUGCCACGAGUCAGAUCCUGUGUGCGUGGACCUGGGCCACUGGGAGGCCACCAUGCAGAUGCUGGGUGGUGUGGGCCCUGUGGACCUGCUGGUGAACAAUGGCGCCAUAGCACUGCUGCAGCCCUUCCCAGAGGUCACCAAGGAGGCCUGUGACAGAUCACAGCCUGGGGCCUGAUGGGUCAUGGAGCACCCAGCUCCAUCGUCAGCAUUUGGCCCAUGCUGCCUUCCCAAUCCCGUGACCUAUGGGACGGCAGCGCCUUCCCAGAAACUCGGACACCCUCCCGGACGCCGGCUACCCAGUCAUCUAGAGCCGCGAUCCCUGCUGCGGCCCCGCCCCACGCGAAAGGCCGCCACGCCCAGGUCCCGGUCCCGCC